GUGCUCAGUUCGGCAGCAUAUAUACUAAAAUUGGAACAAUACAGAGAUUAACAUGGCCCCUGCAUAAGGAUGACACGGAAAUUCGUAAAGCAUUCAAUAUUAUU
Nomascus leucogenys (northern white-cheeked gibbon) is the source of this 104-nucleotide small nuclear RNA. The record is from Ensembl. NCBI's taxonomy places the organism in Eukaryota, Metazoa, Chordata, Mammalia, Primates, Hylobatidae.